RNAcentral lists this transfer RNA (73 nucleotides) under Lachnospiraceae bacterium. RNAcentral's name for it is "tRNA-Met". It matches the Rfam family "tRNA". Rfam says of the family: Transfer RNA (tRNA) molecules are approximately 80 nucleotides in length. Their secondary structure includes four short double-helical elements and three loops (D, anti-codon, and T loops). Further hydrogen bonds mediate the characteristic L-shaped molecular structure. tRNAs have two regions of fundamental functional importance: the anti-codon, which is responsible for specific mRNA codon recognition, and the 3' end, to which the tRNAs corresponding amino acid is attached (by aminoacyl-tRNA synthetases). tRNAs cope with the degeneracy of the genetic code in two manners: having more than one tRNA (with a specific anti-codon) for a particular amino acid; and 'wobble' base-pairing, i.e. permitting non-standard base-pairing at the 3rd anti-codon position. RNAcentral also lists the same sequence under 2 other names. The record is from RNAcentral. Lineage: Bacteria; Bacillati; Bacillota; Clostridia; Lachnospirales; Lachnospiraceae.
CGCGCUGUGGAGCAAUUGGAAGCUCGUCGGGCUCAUAACCCGAAGGUUGCUGGUUCAAGUCCGGUCGGCGCUA